GAUGAACGCUGGCGGCGUGCCUAAUACAUGCAAGUCGAGCGAACGGACGAGAAGCUUGCUUCUCUGAUGUUAGCGGCGGACGGGUGAGUAACACGUGGAUAACCUACCUAUAAGACUGGGAUAACUUCGGGAAACCGUAGCUAAUACCGGAUAAUAUUUUGAACCGCAUGGUUCAAAAGUGAAAGACGGUCUUGCUGUCACUUAUAGAUGGAUCCGCGCUGCAUUAGCUAGUUGGUAAGGUAACGGCUUACCAAGGCAACGAUGCAUAGCCGACCUGAGAGGGUGAUCGGCCACACUGGAAAUGAGACACGGUCCAGGCUACUACGGGAGGCAGCAGUAGGGAAUCUUCCGAAAUGGGCGAAAGCCUGAUGGAGCAACGCCUCGUGAGAGAUGAAGGUCUUCGGAUCGUAAAACUCUGUUAUUAGGGAAGAAAAUAUGUGUAAGUAACUGUGCACAUCUUGACGGUACCUAAGCAGAAAGCCACGGCUAACUACGUG
This 497-nucleotide ribosomal RNA is filed under the name uncultured bacterium. Its description in RNAcentral is "partial 16S ribosomal RNA". It matches the Rfam family "Bacterial small subunit ribosomal RNA", at positions 28 to 507 of the family's 1533-position model. The record is from RNAcentral.